AACGAACGCUGGCGGCAUGCCUAACACAUGCAAGUCGAACGAGACCUUCGGGUCUUGUGGCGCACGGGUGCGUAACGCGUGGGAACCUGCCCUUAUGUUCGGAAUAACUCCCCGAAAGGGGUGCUAAUACCGGAUAAUGUCUUCUGACCAAGGAUUUAUUGCCUUUGGAUGUGCCCGAGUUGGAUUAGCUAGUUGGUAUGGUAAAAGCCUAUCAAAGCGACGAUCCAUAGCUGGUCUGAGAGGAAGAUCAGCGACACUGGGACUGAGACACGGCACAGAAUCCUACGGGAGGGAGGAGUGGGGGAUAGUGGAAAAAGGGCGAAAGGAUGAUGGAGUAAUGAUGGGAGAGUGAUGAAAGUAGUAGAGAUGUAAAGCGUAUGUAACCAGGAAGAUAAUGACAGUACCGGAAGAAUAAGCUCCGGCUAACUCCGUG
RNAcentral lists this ribosomal RNA (433 nucleotides) under uncultured bacterium. RNAcentral describes it as "partial 16S ribosomal RNA". It matches the Rfam family "Bacterial small subunit ribosomal RNA", at positions 29 to 507 of the family's 1533-position model. The record is from RNAcentral.